GCCAGCUCCACACUGCAAGACUUGACGUACAGUAGUCUUGUGAGACGAGACCUGAAGUUAGUUUUGUUCUUACGUUUUAUUUUCGUGUGUUAACUGAGCUACAGCUGUGCUGGAGUUAAACUGUAAUAUACAGUAGUAACUAGCUGGAACAGAGCUGUAUCUUCCAGACUGAUGCAUUAAGCCUGGCUACAGACCCCAAGGAACAGAAACAGUUCCAGGAGACAAGACUCAUCUGAGCAAUGGGAUCUGGUCGCAGUAGAAACAAGAUUCCUGAGGAAACUAUACUCCUGGUUGAAAGAAAAGAAAAGGAGAAAUGGAGACAUAAGGGGCAUAAGGAGUGUGAGAGAAGAAUAAAAGAGCUUGAACAACAGAAUAAAGAGCUGUGUGAUGAGAACAUGAGGAGAAUAGCAGAGCUUGAACAACAGAAUAAAGAGCUGCAUGAUGAGAACA
Molecule: non-coding RNA, 450 nt
Organism: Lepisosteus oculatus (spotted gar)
Lineage: Eukaryota; Metazoa; Chordata; Actinopteri; Semionotiformes; Lepisosteidae
Source: RefSeq, a predicted model, not a curated record